Molecule: transfer RNA, 73 nt
Filed under: Acidobacteriota bacterium
Lineage: Bacteria; Pseudomonadati; Acidobacteriota
Also listed under: 1 other name
Description: Acidobacteria bacterium (wastewater metagenome) tRNA-Lys
Rfam family: tRNA
About the family: Transfer RNA (tRNA) molecules are approximately 80 nucleotides in length. Their secondary structure includes four short double-helical elements and three loops (D, anti-codon, and T loops).
Source: RNAcentral
GGGCCGUUAGCUCAGUUGGUAGAGCAGCAGACUCUUAAUCUGCGGGUCGGUGGUUCGAGCCCACCACGGCUCA